CUGGCUCGCUCCGUUAUUUUGUCCAAGCGCGUUCAAAAUCCACUGAGAGCAGUUCGAAUCGAUGAGAUACGUGCUUGAUUGGGUAUCCCUUGUUGUAAUAAUGUACAUCAGAAGGAGGGGAUGGACUCGUGCUGUGCCUCAGCUGCUCUGAGAGCAUGGAUCAGCAGCUAUUGCCAAACACUUUCUUGGCUGCUAAUAGCACUUUUUCCUCUUCUUUGUGUGGCUGAUAGUAGCUAUUUAAAACAGCAACAGCGAAUCAGACGAGUCCUCCUUACUGCAAGAUGCCUUCUUCUGUUCAAGUGAGUCAGGCACAAAAUCCGAAUCAUGCGCUCUCCUUGUUUUUGUUGAUACAGAAUGGAAAGAAUAAUAGGCUAGUUUUUUUUUUAACGAUCAUCUUCAAGAUAGAAUACAAUUGGUCCGCCGUCUGCUGCAAAGGUUAUGACUGUGGACGCAAAUUAUUUUCUCGAAAACCAGAACGCGGGCCAUGGGUCACGGGAGGUCACUGCCUCUCUCUGUGUGCCAAUAACAGACACAGACGGUUAACAACCGGGCACAGCAUCAAAGAGCCAAGGUAUGUCCGCACAUACACACACAUUCAGGCACACGCACGCACACACACAAACAUACACACACACACGCACACACACACACACACACAGCCAGCCCACUCUACGUCUCCUCAGGUCUCUGUCUCCCUCUAACUGAGUGAACGCAUCACUCUGUGCUAAGUGGAAGUCUCACUCACCUCUCAUCCUCUAACGAUGUCAUCCUUCCCUCCACAACUCACACAUCACACAUCAGUUAGUUAUUUUGGGUGGGGGGCAGAGGGAGGGGCCCUGACAGUGAGGGAGGAAGUACACAGGAAGUACAUUAGUUAUCAGUCUCUGUCGUCUCCACCUUUUCAGAUCCCAUCAGUAUUAAACUGCUCUGGAAGCAGCCCCUCUCUUUUUCCCUCUUAAAAGUCUUCCGUGCGCCACUUUAAACCAGGCCUCAGAUCUAAAUGACACUUCGCACUACACAUGCAUGAAGACAAGUGAAUUAAAUAUUGAAAUAAAAGACAGCAAAAAAAAAAAAAGAGGACAGGAAAAAGAGGAAGAAAGUCAUUGUUCCUGUGGCAGGUCAAAAGGGAUUUAUUGGCAAGAGGUGGAGUUUAGUAAGGUUCACAGGAAUUAGUCUUUCCCUUAAAACAUGGUCACGUGAUCUUGUAAGAGUAGGUAGCCUAUGAUCAAGCAGAAUAAUCAUCACAUUCAGCUAGUCAAAAAAGGUACAAUGGAUUCUAAUUUGCCGGACAUCAGUGAUUUUAUAGAGAACAAUAAACAAAUAUCUUCCUAUCUUCCUCAUUUUUGUUCAUGAUUUUUAAAUGGCCUAAUUUACGCAUCCAAUGUGCUGUGUGUCCCUCCAGCGUCUCCGUACAUCUAGGGGGUUGAAGGGGGAUAAAACAAGAGUGUGUGUGUGGGGGGGGUCUGCAUGCUUUGCCAUCAUUCGGAACCUCCGUGACCACACAAAUUAUUAUUCUAGUCAGCCGUGUGUGCAGAACCUGCCUGCUAGUUGUGCGAAUGCUUAUUUAAGCUGUGUAACUGACAUCCAUAUGGUUUUCAUCAUCAUAAAGAAACGUUUGAGGGGGUUAUGUUUUUACUAGGCAGGAGCAGAGACUUGUCUGUCGAGCCAUGAUUUGACUAGCCUUCCGGAGGUUUAUGUGUGUAACAUUCUGAAUAUUAAAUAUGCAAUUGAAAUGUGAAGUAGAGUAUAACUGUAAUGCAUUUUUCUUGUUGAAUCUAAAAAUGACAAUAAAUGAGCAUUUGACA
Salvelinus fontinalis (brook trout) is the source of this 1805-nucleotide long non-coding RNA. RefSeq lists it as uncharacterized. The transcript is spliced from 3 exons. The record is from RefSeq and is a predicted model, not a curated record. Lineage: Eukaryota; Metazoa; Chordata; Actinopteri; Salmoniformes; Salmonidae.